This 468-nucleotide ribosomal RNA is filed under the name uncultured bacterium. RNAcentral describes it as "partial 16S ribosomal RNA". It matches the Rfam family "Bacterial small subunit ribosomal RNA", at positions 28 to 507 of the family's 1533-position model. The record is from RNAcentral.
GACGAAUGAUGGCGGAGGGAGGAACACAGGCAAGUCGAACGGAAAGGCCCUGCUUUUGUGGGGUGCUCGAGUGGCGAACGGGUGAGUAACACGUGAGUAACCUGCCCUUGACUUUGGGAUAACUUCAGGAAACUGGGGCUAAUACCGGAUAGGAGCUCCUGCUGCAUGGUGGGGGUUGGAAAGUUUCGGCGGUUGGGGAUGGACUCGCGGCUUAUCAGCUUGUUGGUGGGGUAGUGGCUUACCAAGGCUUUGACGGGUAGCCGGCCUGAGAGGGUGACCGGCCACAUUGGGACUGAGAUACGGCCCAGACUCCUACGGGAGGCAGCAGUGGGGAAUAUUGCACAAUGGGCGGAAGCCUGAUGCAGCAACGCCGCGUGCGGGAUGCCGGCCUUCGGGUUGUAAACCGCUUUCGCCUGUGACGAAGCGUGAGUGACGGUAAUGGGUAAAGAAGCACCGGCUCCCUACGUG